UCGACUGUUUAUCAAAAACAUAUUUAAUAAUAUUAAGUAUUAAUAUAGCCUGCUCAAUGAAAAUUAAAUACCCGCAGUUCAUACUGUGCUAACGUAACAUAAUCAUUUGUCUUCUAAUUAAAGACUAGAAUGAAAGGUUUCGAAUUUGAAUUAAUAUAUUUAAUCUUGAUUUUAAAAUUAUUAUAAAUGUAAAAAAAAAUUGUAAAUUAGAAAACUGAAAAGACAAUAUCGAACUGAAUUUUAGUUUAACUGGGACAGUUCAUUAAUAAUAAUUUUAAUUCUAAAUUAAAAGCAAAUGAUCUGAUAUAAUCAAUUUAAUGAUCAUGUUCCCGUAGGAAUAACGGUGUAAUAAUUUUCUAUAGAUCUUAUGUAAAAAAAGGUUGUGACCUCGAUGUUGAAUUAAUCACUCUACUAAAUGAACAAUUUAGUAAGAAAGUCUGUGUAACUUUUAAACAAUUAAAUGAUUUUAGUUCAGAUCGGUAUAAUCCAGGUCGGUUUCUAUCUU
This 505-nucleotide ribosomal RNA is filed under the name Parapalystes cf. cultrifer SD21. Its description in RNAcentral is "partial 16S ribosomal RNA". Lineage: Eukaryota; Metazoa; Arthropoda; Arachnida; Araneae; Sparassidae. The record is from RNAcentral.